Molecule: transfer RNA, 72 nt
Filed under: Ovis aries (sheep)
Lineage: Eukaryota; Metazoa; Chordata; Mammalia; Artiodactyla; Bovidae
Rfam family: tRNA
About the family: Transfer RNA (tRNA) molecules are approximately 80 nucleotides in length. Their secondary structure includes four short double-helical elements and three loops (D, anti-codon, and T loops).
Source: Rfam by way of RNAcentral
UCCCUGGUGGCUCAGACAGUAAAGCAUCUGCCUACAAUGCAGGAGACCCUGGUUCGAUCCCCGGGUCAGGAA